This 253-nucleotide unclassified non-coding RNA is filed under the name uncultured Hymenobacteraceae bacterium. RNAcentral's name for it is "contains 16S-23S intergenic spacer region". It matches the Rfam family "Bacterial small subunit ribosomal RNA", at positions 524 to 776 of the family's 1533-position model. Lineage: Bacteria; Pseudomonadati; Bacteroidota; Cytophagia; Cytophagales; Hymenobacteraceae. The record is from RNAcentral.
UACGGAGGGUGCAAGCGUUGUCCGGAUUUAUUGGGUUUAAAGGGUGCGUAGGCGGCCUGUUAAGUCAGCGGUGAAAGCCCGGGGCUCAACCCCGGAACUGCCGUUGAUACUGGCGGGCUUGAGUAUGGACGAGGUUGGCGGAAUUGAGGGUGUAGCGGUGAAAUGCUUAGAUACCCUCAAGAACACCGAUUGCGUAGGCAGCUAACUAGGCCAUAACUGACGCUGAGGCACGAAAGCGUGGGGAGCGAACAGG